AUACGUCUUCUGCGGCCACUUUCAGACGCUUCAGUUUGCUUUAGUAAGAGGUUUCCAAGAUGGCAAAGAAACGGGAGGCGGAUAAAACGCCGCAUAACGAUGAUCCAGGUAAAAACGACGAUGAGAAUAUCAACGGGGAUAACGAGCCAAACUUCAGCGAUCCCGAGGGAUUCGUCGACGAUGUAACCGACGAAGAACUACUUGGCGAGCUCAUUAGGCAGAAACCGUCUGAGACCGAUGGGGUUGAAGCUGUCAUUGUCGUCGACGGUGUUCCGCAAGUUGGACCCGAGCGUUUAGAAAAACUCCAAAUGGUGAUCAGCAAGCUGUUUGAAAAGUUUGGAGACAUUGUCAACCAGUGGUAUCCCAAGAACGAAGAUGGCUUGACCAAAGGGUACAUAUUCUUGGAAUACAAAAGUCCGGUGAACGCAUUAGCUGCUGUCAAGUCGACAAACAAUUACAAGCUCGACAAGAUGCACACAUUUAAGGUGAAUUUGUUCACGGAUUUCAAAAAGUUUGAGGAUACACCGGAUGAGUGGGAACCGCCAAAGCCCCAGCCGUAUACAUCGAGUGGUGACCUUCACUACUAUCUCCUUGAUCCUGAUGCGUACGACCAAUUCUGCGUUCUCUCUGGCAAUGGAAUGGCGGUUUGUGUUCAGAUAUGGCAAAAUUCUGCACCUGAACCGACGCUGCUGGAAGACCGACCGCGAUGGACAGAUACAUACGUCAAGUGGUCUCCAUUGGGCACGUACAUAGCUACUUUCCACAAGCCAGGAGUCGCGUUGUGGGGUGGUCCGAAGUUCGAGCAGACGGCAAAGUUUGGUCAACGCGGAGUUGAGUGCGUUGACUUUUCACCUUGCGAACGUUAUCUUGUCUCAUAUUCACCCAGGGCUGAGAGCAGCGUUGAUCAGAAGCGGCUUGUUGUCUGGGAUAUUCUCUCCGGUCAAGAAAAACGGGAUUUUAAUCCUGACGGGUCCUCGGUGUGGCCCAUUUUCCGCUGGUCACACGACGACAAAUAUCUCGCUCGCAUGGGCGAAGAUGUACUCAACAUCUACGAAACUCCUUCAUUUCGACUACUCAACAAAAAGAGCAUCAAGAUACCAGGAAUCAGAGACUUCAGCUGGUCGCCCACUGAUAAUGUUCUAGCCUACUGGGUGCCGGAAGAUAAAGAUGUCCCAGCCAGAGUCACACUUUUGGAAAUUCCCAGCCGCAACGAAAUUCGUAACAAAAAUCUAUUCAAUGUCGCCGACUGUAAAAUUCACUGGCAAAAAUGUGGUGACUACCUCUGUGUCAAGGUGGAUCGUUUUGCGAAGAGGAAAGAAAAAACUGAACAAAAAUACACUGGAAUGUCGUACAACUUUGAGAUAUUCCACAUGCGAGAGAAGCAGAUACCGGUUGAUAGCGUUGAAAUGAAGGAACCGAUUCACGCAUUCGCCUGGGAACCAGUGGGUAGCAAAUUCGCUAUCAUUCACGGUGAAAUACCCAGCGUAAACGUCAGCUUCUAUGGAGUACGCCCUGGACUGCAUCCUGAUCUUCUCAAGAAACUCGAGAAGAAGGCGUGCAAUCACCUGUUCUGGUCUCCUGCUGGCCAGUUCAUUGUACUUGCUGGUCUUACCACCAUGGCUGGUGCCUUGGAGUUUAUUGAUACCAACGAUUUUACUAUAAUGAACACCACUGAUCACUACCAGACCUCUGACGUUGAGUGGGAUCCUACCGGACGAUACGUUGUGACUGGAGUGUCGAGCUGGAAGACAAGCGUCGACAACGGAUAUUGGAUUUGGUCGUUCCAAGGUCGUAUUUUGAAGAGAGUUAAUUUGACUGCGUUCAAUCAGCUUCUAUGGCGUCCAAGGCCAGCGACGCUUUUGACCGCCAAGCAAAUCAAGGAAAUUCAAAAAAAUCUGAAGAAGUAUUCGGCACAAUUCGAAAGCAAAGAUCGCAUGAGACUAACUCGCGCCUCGAAGGAAUUGAUCGAAAAGCGUUGUACACUGAUGAAAGAAUUCGAAGAAUAUCGAUCAAAACGUAUCGAAGAAUGGAACAGCCAAAAGAAGCGUCGCCUUGAACUACGCAACAAUAUCGACACGGAUGAGCUGGACUCAGAUACGAAGAAUGUUGAGGAGGAAUCGAUCGAGUUUUUCAUCAAAGAAGAGACAUUCGUCAUCGACUAAAGUAUCGUCGAAGACGAAGUAAGGGAAUCAUCACGACGAGGAAUCUGUGACUGCGUCAAAACUGAAACCCCAUUCCUUUCCUCACAGCUCACACUUGCGAAUCAGCGGAAUUGCCUUCGGAAGACUGGUUUUUGUGCAGAUGCUCUUGCCGGCAGUUUGGUUGUUGAAAAAAUACGCGUCAUGCAUUUAAUCUGGGGUUUUUAUAUUUCAUCAAUUGUUGGUUUUCCACUGUGUAUAGAAUUCUGCAGAUGAUUUUUCAAAACAGAAAUCAUAUAUUUGUUCUUUUUCUUCUUGGCAUAAUAUCCAUUCUGUUCAAAUUAUUAUCAACUUUACUAUUAUAACAAGCAUCGGUUGCUAUUAUAUGGAACGGGAAUCUUCGAAAAGCAAUAACAUACAGAAAGAGUCAUAAAGACGAAAAUGUGUAAAGUUAUGUUCUUACUAUAUAUCUACAUAUAUGCUAACGAAUGUAUUAAUUAUUAUGCAUAAUGUAUAGUUUGGAGGUACAUAAGUUGAGAAAAAGGUCUUGAUUUUAAAGUUUAUGUAUUAUAUAUUAUGUUAUAGCUCAAUGAUCCUUAGAUCUCUAUGUAUUAUACAAUCAUAAGAAUAAUGAUGAAAAUAAAAAAGGAAAAUAAUA
This 2796-nucleotide unclassified non-coding RNA is filed under the name Neodiprion pinetum (white pine sawfly). Its description in RNAcentral is "eukaryotic translation initiation factor 3 subunit B, transcript variant X2". Lineage: Eukaryota; Metazoa; Arthropoda; Insecta; Hymenoptera; Diprionidae. The record is from RNAcentral.